GUCAGGUUGGCCAAGCGGUCCAAUGUGCUGUGUGAACGUCGCAGUCUCCCCCAGAAACGUGGGUUCGAAUCCUACUCCUGAUA
This is a non-coding RNA of Chelonia mydas (Green sea turtle), 83 nucleotides long. Lineage: Eukaryota; Metazoa; Chordata; Testudines; Cheloniidae. The record is from Rfam.